GGUGAACGCUGACAGAAUGCUUAACACAUGCAAGUCGAGCGCCCCGCAAGGGGAGCGGCAGACGGGUGAGUAACGCGUGGGAAUCUACCUUUUGCUACGGAAUAACUCAGGGAAACUUGUGCUAAUACCGUAUGUGCCCUUCGGGGGAAAGAUUUAUCGGCAAAGGAUGAGCCCGCGUUGGAUUAGCUAGUUGGUGGGGUAAAGGCCUACCAAGGCGACGAUCCAUAGCUGGUCUGAGAGGAUGAUCAGCCACACUGGGACUGAGACACGGCCCAG
RNAcentral lists this ribosomal RNA (276 nucleotides) under uncultured bacterium. RNAcentral's name for it is "partial 16S ribosomal RNA". It matches the Rfam family "Bacterial small subunit ribosomal RNA", at positions 28 to 334 of the family's 1533-position model. The record is from RNAcentral.